This 277-nucleotide unclassified non-coding RNA is filed under the name Rhizopogon sp. Its description in RNAcentral is "partial contains 5.8S ribosomal RNA, internal transcribed spacer 2, and large subunit ribosomal RNA". The record is from RNAcentral. Lineage: Eukaryota; Fungi; Basidiomycota; Agaricomycetes; Boletales; Rhizopogonaceae.
CGCAUCUUGCACCCAAUGGUAUUCCGUUGGGUAUGCCUGUUUGAGUGUCAUUUAUCUCUCAGUCCCUCGACUUUUUUGGUAAAGUUGAGGUGAUCUGGAAUUUGAGUGCGGUUUUUCUGACCAAAACCCACUUUAAAGUAAACGAGUUGACCAUGUUUACGGUUUGACUGGGUGUUGUAAUUUCGCCUCACUCGGGACGUAGUCUAGUUAACGAAACUAGCUUUGACGCAAAAAUGACUUUGACCUCAAAUCAGGUAGGAUUACCCGCUGAACUUAA